GACGAACGCUGGCGGCGUGCUUAACACAUGCAAGUCGAACGGAAAGGCCCUGCUUUUGUUGGGUGCUCUAGUGGCGAACGGGUGAGUUACACGUGAGUAACCUGCCCUUGACUUUGGUAUAACUUCAGGAAACUGGGGCUAAUACCGGAUAGGAUCUCCUGCUGCUUUGUGGGGGUUGGAAAGUUUCGGCGGUUGGGGAUGGACGCGCGGGUUUUCAGAUUUUUGGUGGGGUUGUGGCUUACCAAGGCUUUGAAGGGGAGCCGGGCUGAGAGGGUUGCCGGGCAGAAUGGGAAUGAGAGAGGGGCCAGAAGGGGAGAGGAGGGAACAGUGGGGGAAAGUGAAAAAGAGGGGGGAGGCUGGAGGAAGAAAGGCGGGGGGGGGAUGAAGGGCUUUGGGGUGUAAAGCAGUUUUGGCUGGGAAGAAGGGGGAGUGACGGUAAUGGGUAAAGAAGCACCGGCUAACUACGUG
RNAcentral lists this ribosomal RNA (468 nucleotides) under uncultured bacterium. Its description in RNAcentral is "partial 16S ribosomal RNA". It matches the Rfam family "Bacterial small subunit ribosomal RNA", at positions 28 to 507 of the family's 1533-position model. The record is from RNAcentral.